Molecule: ribosomal RNA, 2908 nt
Filed under: Staphylococcus aureus
Lineage: Bacteria; Bacillati; Bacillota; Bacilli; Caryophanales; Staphylococcaceae
Description: bacterial LSU rRNA
Rfam family: Bacterial large subunit ribosomal RNA
Source: RNAcentral
AGGGCGCACGGUGGAUGCCUUGGCACUAGAAGCCGAUGAAGGACGUUACUAACGACGAUAUGCUUUGGGGAGCUGUAAGUAAGCUUUGAUCCAGAGAUUUCCGAAUGGGGAAACCCAGCAUGAGUUAUGUCAUGUUAUCGAUAUGUGAAUACAUAGCAUAUCAGAAGGCACACCCGGAGAACUGAAACAUCUUAGUACCCGGAGGAAGAGAAAGAAAAUUCGAUUCCCUUAGUAGCGGCGAGCGAAACGGGAAGAGCCCAAACCAACAAGCUUGCUUGUUGGGGUUGUAGGACACUCUGUACGGAGUUACAAAGGACGACAUUAGACGAAUCAUCUGGAAAGAUGAAUCAAAGAAGGUAAUAAUCCUGUAGUCGAAAAUGUUGUCUCUCUUGAGUGGAUCCUGAGUACGACGGAGCACGUGAAAUUCCGUCGGAAUCUGGGAGGACCAUCUCCUAAGGCUAAAUACUCUCUAGUGACCGAUAGUGAACCAGUACCGUGAGGGAAAGGUGAAAAGCACCCCGGAAGGGGAGUGAAAUAGAACCUGAAACCGUGUGCUUACAAGUAGUCAGAGCCCGUUAAUGGGUGAUGGCGUGCCUUUUGUAGAAUGAACCGGCGAGUUACGAUUUGAUGCAAGGUUAAGCAGUAAAUGUGGAGCCGUAGCGAAAGCGAGUCUGAAUAGGGCGUUUAGUAUUUGGUCGUAGACCCGAAACCAGGUGAUCUACCCUUGGUCAGGUUGAAGUUCAGGUAACACUGAAUGGAGGACCGAACCGACUUACGUUGAAAAGUGAGCGGAUGAACUGAGGGUAGCGGAGAAAUUCCAAUCGAACCUGGAGAUAGCUGGUUCUCUCCGAAAUAGCUUUAGGGCUAGCCUCAAGUGAUGAUUAUUGGAGGUAGAGCACUGUUUGGACGAGGGGCCCCUCUCGGGUUACCGAAUUCAGACAAACUCCGAAUGCCAAUUAAUUUAACUUGGGAGUCAGAACAUGGGUGAUAAGGUCCGUGUUCGAAAGGGAAACAGCCCAGACCACCAGCUAAGGUCCCAAAAUAUAUGUUAAGUGGAAAAGGAUGUGGCGUUGCCCAGACAACUAGGAUGUUGGCUUAGAAGCAGCCAUCAUUUAAAGAGUGCGUAAUAGCUCACUAGUCGAGUGACACUGCGCCGAAAAUGUACCGGGGCUAAACAUAUUACCGAAGCUGUGGAUUGUCCUUUGGACAAUGGUAGGAGAGCGUUCUAAGGGCGUUGAAGCAUGAUCGUAAGGACAUGUGGAGCGCUUAGAAGUGAGAAUGCCGGUGUGAGUAGCGAAAGACGGGUGAGAAUCCCGUCCACCGAUUGACUAAGGUUUCCAGAGGAAGGCUCGUCCGCUCUGGGUUAGUCGGGUCCUAAGCUGAGGCCGACAGGCGUAGGCGAUGGAUAACAGGUUGAUAUUCCUGUACCACCUAUAAUCGUUUUAAUCGAUGGGGGGACGCAGUAGGAUAGGCGAAGCGUGCGAUUGGAUUGCACGUCUAAGCAGUAAGGCUGAGUAUUAGGCAAAUCCGGUACUCGUUAAGGCUGAGCUGUGAUGGGGAGAAGACAUUGUGUCUUCGAGUCGUUGAUUUCACACUGCCGAGAAAAGCCUCUAGAUAGAAAAUAGGUGCCCGUACCGCAAACCGACACAGGUAGUCAAGAUGAGAAUUCUAAGGUGAGCGAGCGAACUCUCGUUAAGGAACUCGGCAAAAUGACCCCGUAACUUCGGGAGAAGGGGUGCUCUUUAGGGUUAACGCCCAGAAGAGCCGCAGUGAAUAGGCCCAAGCGACUGUUUAUCAAAAACACAGGUCUCUGCUAAACCGUAAGGUGAUGUAUAGGGGCUGACGCCUGCCCGGUGCUGGAAGGUUAAGAGGAGUGGUUAGCUUCUGCGAAGCUACGAAUCGAAGCCCCAGUAAACGGCGGCCGUAACUAUAACGGUCCUAAGGUAGCGAAAUUCCUUGUCGGGUAAGUUCCGACCCGCACGAAAGGCGUAACGAUUUGGGCACUGUCUCAACGAGAGACUCGGUGAAAUCAUAGUACCUGUGAAGAUGCAGGUUACCCGCGACAGGACGGAAAGACCCCGUGGAGCUUUACUGUAGCCUGAUAUUGAAAUUCGGCACAGCUUGUACAGGAUAGGUAGGAGCCUUUGAAACGUGAGCGCUAGCUUACGUGGAGGCGCUGGUGGGAUACUACCCUAGCUGUGUUGGCUUUCUAACCCGCACCACUUAUCGUGGUGGGAGACAGUGUCAGGCGGGCAGUUUGACUGGGGCGGUCGCCUCCUAAAAGGUAACGGAGGCGCUCAAAGGUUCCCUCAGAAUGGUUGGAAAUCAUUCAUAGAGUGUAAAGGCAUAAGGGAGCUUGACUGCGAGACCUACAAGUCGAGCAGGGUCGAAAGACGGACUUAGUGAUCCGGUGGUUCCGCAUGGAAGGGCCAUCGCUCAACGGAUAAAAGCUACCCCGGGGAUAACAGGCUUAUCUCCCCCAAGAGUUCACAUCGACGGGGAGGUUUGGCACCUCGAUGUCGGCUCAUCGCAUCCUGGGGCUGUAGUCGGUCCCAAGGGUUGGGCUGUUCGCCCAUUAAAGCGGUACGCGAGCUGGGUUCAGAACGUCGUGAGACAGUUCGGUCCCUAUCCGUCGUGGGCGUAGGAAAUUUGAGAGGAGCUGUCCUUAGUACGAGAGGACCGGGAUGGACAUACCUCUGGUGUACCAGUUGUCGUGCCAACGGCAUAGCUGGGUAGCUAUGUGUGGACGGGAUAAGUGCUGAAAGCAUCUAAGCAUGAAGCCCCCCUCAAGAUGAGAUUUCCCAACUUCGGUUAUAAGAUCCCUCAAAGAUGAUGAGGUUAAUAGGUUCGAGGUGGAAGCAUGGUGACAUGUGGAGCUGACGAAUACUAAUCGAUCGAAGACUUAAUC